RNAcentral lists this ribosomal RNA (464 nucleotides) under uncultured Thiobacillus sp. RNAcentral describes it as "bacterial SSU rRNA". It matches the Rfam family "Bacterial small subunit ribosomal RNA", at positions 913 to 1382 of the family's 1533-position model. The record is from RNAcentral. Lineage: Bacteria; Pseudomonadati; Pseudomonadota; Betaproteobacteria; Nitrosomonadales; Thiobacillaceae.
ACGGGGACCCGCACAAGCGGUGGAUGAUGUGGAUUAAUCGAUGCAACGCGAAGAACCUUACGUACCCUUGACAUGUCCGGAACUUGCCAGAGAUGGCUUGGUGCCCGAAAGGGAAUCGGAACACAGGUGCUGCAUGGCUGUCGUCAGCUCGUGUCGUGAGAUGUUGGGUUAAGUCCCGCAACGAGCGCAACCCUUAUCAUUAGUUGCUACGCAAGGGCACUCUAAUGAGACUGCCGGUGACAAACCGGAGGAAGGUGGGGAUGACGUCAAGUCCUCAUGGCCCUUAUGGGUAGGGCUUCACACGUCAUACAAUGGUCGGUACAGAGGGUUGCCAAGCCGCGAGGCGGAGCCAAUCCCACAAAGCCGAUCGUAGUCCGGAUUGUUCUCUGCAACUCGAGAGCAUGAAGUCGGAAUCGCUAGUAAUCGCAGGUCAGCAUACUGCGGUGAAUACGUUCCCGGGUCUU